This is a small nuclear RNA of Panicum hallii, 201 nucleotides long. RefSeq annotates it as U2 spliceosomal RNA. The transcript has a single exon. The record is from RefSeq and is a predicted model, not a curated record. Lineage: Eukaryota; Viridiplantae; Streptophyta; Magnoliopsida; Poales; Poaceae.
GUACCUUUCUCGGCCUUUUGGCUAAGAUUCAAGUGUAGUAUCUGUUCUUAUCAGUUUAAUAUCUGAUAUGUGAGGUCUCGCCCUCACAACGGUAUUAAAUUUACUUUUUGUGGGGGAGAGCUCGCCGCGGUAGCUUGCUACCUGGGUUCUCAAGUGUCGCCCUAGUUUUGCACUGUAUAGCUCGGGCCUGGCACACCCCAU